RNA transcript from Arabidopsis thaliana (thale cress), 405 nucleotides. RefSeq lists it as uncharacterized. The record is from RefSeq. The transcript is spliced from 2 exons. NCBI's taxonomy places the organism in Eukaryota, Viridiplantae, Streptophyta, Magnoliopsida, Brassicales, Brassicaceae.
CCAGAAAGUAGUCUAGGGAUAUUACUUUUGAAGAGUGGGUGAAGAAGUUUAAAGAGUUUUGUCAUAUUCGUUAUACCAUUACGGCUUUACUCUACUUGGUGUCAUUUGCUACCUCCGCCGCCAUAUUGUGCACCAGCUUGACUUAAUAGACGCCAGUCGUGUUCAGGAGAAGCUCUCUACUCCAAACCAAACCAAUACGUAACUUCGCAUUUUUGCUUGAAAAUCUCUCAUUGUUCCAUUUUUUACUAGAACAUGUUCUGACAUUUUCAUUGAACUAUUUAUCCACUGCUCAUUUUCUCACAACUAUGCUACUAGGUUUAUUUUUUUUUUGGGUUUAAUUAUGCUGCUGAGUUUGUUUCAGGAAUCAGGAUGUGUGAUUUGUGUUAUAAGAUUACUUACCCAACC